RNAcentral lists this ribosomal RNA (710 nucleotides) under Salmonella enterica subsp. enterica serovar Infantis. Its description in RNAcentral is "partial 23S ribosomal RNA". It matches the Rfam family "Bacterial large subunit ribosomal RNA", at positions 2224 to 2925 of the family's 2925-position model. The record is from RNAcentral. Lineage: Bacteria; Pseudomonadati; Pseudomonadota; Gammaproteobacteria; Enterobacterales; Enterobacteriaceae.
AACGUGGAUCCGUAAUCCGGGUUGCGGACAGUGUCUGGUGGGUAGUUUGACUGGGGCGGUCUCCUCCUAAAGAGUAACGGAGGAGCACGAAGGUUGGCUAAUCCUGGUCGGACAUCAGGAGGUUAGUGCAAUGGCAUAAGCCAGCUUGACUGCGAGCGUGACGGCGCGAGCAGGUGCGAAAGCAGGUCAUAGUGAUCCGGUGGUUCUGAAUGGAAGGGCCAUCGCUCAACGGAUAAAAGGUACUCCGGGGAUAACAGGCUGAUACCGCCCAAGAGUUCAUAUCGACGGCGGUGUUUGGCACCUCGAUGUCGGCUCAUCACAUCCUGGGGCUGAAGUAGGUCCCAAGGGUAUGGCUGUUCGCCAUUUAAAGUGGUACGCGAGCUGGGUUUAGAACGUCGUGAGACAGUUCGGUCCCUAUCUGCCGUGGGCGCUGGAGAACUGAGGGGGGCUGCUCCUAGUACGAGAGGACCGGAGUGGACGCAUCACUGGUGUUCGGGUUGUCAUGCCAAUGGCACUGCCCGGUAGCUAAAUGCGGAAGAGAUAAGUGCUGAAAGCAUCUAAGCACGAAACUUGCCCCGAGAUGAGUUCUCCCUGAGACUUAGAGUCUCCUGAAGGAACGUUGAAGACGACGACGUUGAUAGGCCGGGUGUGUAAGCGCAGCGAUGCGUUGAGCUAACCGGUACUAAUGAACCGUGAGGCUUAACCUUACA